CUUCUUGACGCGGCGGCUGGCCACCCCCGAUCGACCUGGCGAGAGGUAAGACCGGGAUUUUAGAUCCGACAGGUAGAAGGAUCACGGAGGAUCAUCCUCCACUAAGUUGGGAUAAAGGUUUUAUGGGUUAUGUUAAUAGGUUACCAAUAUGUGUUGUCAUGACCUGUUUUCUUUCCUCCCCUACCCCGGCCCACGAUUCCGCUGAGACAAGGCACAUUCGGCAACCACCCCGGGGGGACCGCCGGGCGGCGCACGACAACAAGGCGGAAGCUCCGGAUUAUGCACCCACAAGGCAAAGAGGCACAAGGUACACUAGCACACCACUCGCAUUAUCACAUGGCACUUAAAAUUACAUCACUCAACGUAAACGG
This is a non-coding RNA of Pelobates cultripes (western spadefoot toad), 371 nucleotides long. The record is from the annotation of a GenBank genome assembly. NCBI's taxonomy places the organism in Eukaryota, Metazoa, Chordata, Amphibia, Anura, Pelobatidae.